AAACCAUGUUGUAGACAUUGAUGGAGCGAACCUUGUAUAUCUUUCAUGCCUCGUAAUAGCACUUUCAAUCAAGCUAUGAAAAUGUAGUAAUCUUAUCUCUCAACUU
Molecule: small nucleolar RNA, 106 nt
Filed under: Olea europaea subsp. europaea
Lineage: Eukaryota; Viridiplantae; Streptophyta; Magnoliopsida; Lamiales; Oleaceae
Description: Plant small nucleolar RNA R71
Rfam family: Plant small nucleolar RNA R71
About the family: R71 is a member of the C/D box family of snoRNAs containing the C (UGAUGA) and D (CUGA) box motifs.
Source: Rfam by way of RNAcentral